This 514-nucleotide ribosomal RNA is filed under the name uncultured Azonexus sp. RNAcentral describes it as "bacterial SSU rRNA". It matches the Rfam family "Bacterial small subunit ribosomal RNA", at positions 67 to 578 of the family's 1533-position model. Lineage: Bacteria; Pseudomonadati; Pseudomonadota; Betaproteobacteria; Rhodocyclales; Azonexaceae. The record is from RNAcentral.
CGGCAGCGGACCUUCGGGUGCCGGCGAGUGGCGAACGGGUGAGUAAAGCAUCGGAACGUACCCUAGAGUGGGGGAUAACUAUCCGAAAGGAUAGCUAAUACCGCAUAUUCUAUGAGUAGGAAAGCGGGGGAUCUUCGGACCUCGCGCUCUAGGAGCGGCCGAUGUCAGAUUAGCUAGUUGGUGGGGUAAAGGCCUACCAAGGCGACGAUCUGUAGCGGGUCUGAGAGGAUGAUCCGCCACACUGGGACUGAGACACGGCCCAGACUCCUACGGGAGGCAGCAGUGAGGAAUUUUGGACAAUGGGGGCAACCCUGAUCCAGCCAUGCCGCGUGAGUGAAGAAGGCCUUCGGGUUGUAAAGCUCUUUCGGCCGGGAAGAAAUCGCACGGGCUAAUACCUUGUGUGGAUGACGGUACCGGAAUAAGAAGCACCGGCUAACUACGUGCCAGCAGCCGCGGUAAUACGUAGGGUGCGAGCGUUAAUCGGAAUUACUGGGCGUAAAGCGUGCGCAGGCGG